RNAcentral lists this ribosomal RNA (350 nucleotides) under uncultured bacterium. RNAcentral's name for it is "bacterial SSU rRNA". It matches the Rfam family "Bacterial small subunit ribosomal RNA", at positions 29 to 405 of the family's 1533-position model. The record is from RNAcentral.
AACGUACGCUGGCGGCACGCCUAACACAUGCAAGUCGAACGAAGUAGCAAUACUUAGUGGCAGACGGGUGAGUAACAUGUAGGUAUCUGCCCUUUGGCCUGGAAUAACACGAGGAAACUUGUGCUAAUACUGGAUAAGUCUUUACGGAGAAAGCUUUAUGCACCAUUGGAUGAGCCUGCACUUGAUUAGUUUGUUGGUGGGGUAAUGGCCUACCAAGACUGUGAUCAAUAGCUGAUUUGAGAGGAUGAUCAGCCACAUUGGGACUGAGACACGGCCCAAACUCCUACGGGAGGCAGCAGUGGGGAAUCUUGCACAAUGGAGGAAACUCUGAUACAGCGAUGCCGCGUGAG